Molecule: ribosomal RNA, 472 nt
Filed under: uncultured bacterium
Lineage: Bacteria
Description: bacterial SSU rRNA
Rfam family: Bacterial small subunit ribosomal RNA
Source: RNAcentral
GAUCCUGGCUCAGAACGAACGCUGGCGGCAGGUCUUAGGCAUGCAAGUCGAACGGAUGACAGAGAGCUUGCUCUCUGAAGUCAGUGGCGCACGAGUGAGUAACGCGUGGGAAACUGCCCUUCACUGGGGAAUAACGUUUGGAAACGAACGCUAAUACCGCAUACGCCCGCAAGGGGAAAGAUUUAUCGGUGAUGGAUGUGCCCGCGUUGGAUUAGCUAGUUGGUGGGGUAAUAGCCUACCAAGGCGAUGAUCCAUAGCUGGUCUGAGAGGACGAUCAGCCACGCUGGAACGGAGACACGGUCCAGACUCCUACGGGAGGCAGCAGCUAAGAAUAUUGGGCAAUGGAGGAAACUCUGACCCAAGCCAUGCCGCGUGAAUGAAGAAGGCCUUCGGGUUGUAAAGUUCUUUUAGUCAUGAAGAUGAUGACAGUAGUGACAGAAAAAGCACCGGCUAACUUCGUGCCAGCCGCGGC